GGCUUCGUGACCCUUCUGCAGUCUGGAGAGACGUUGCGCUUUAUACUUCAGCUUCAGCACUUUCCCCCUCCACUCUUCCUGCGAUGUCCGUCAUGGCUGCAGGUGUGCACAGGUUGGUAAAAACAGCAUUACUACUGCUGUCAGUCUUGUUGCUAUCUGAAGCUCUACCAGCCCGCUGGCUGCCAGGAAUCUCUGCAAACACCAAAUCACAUGCACUGAGGUUCCUCAGUGAUUACAACAGUACUGCAGAGGAGGUGGUCUUCAACAGCGUGUCUGCCAGCUGGAACUACAACACCAACCUGACAGACCACAACUCCAGGCUGCUGGUACUUUAUUAGCAACAUCCUGAAGUUCCAGGUUUAUGAGAAACUCUGUGACGCAGCCAAUCAGACCAGCCCUCUGCACACAUGUGACAUCUACCAUUCUGUAGAAGCUGGAGCCAUUUUGAAGAAAAUUCUCGAAGCAGGUUCUUCAUAGCCUUGGCCUGACGUGCUCGAGGAGGCCAUAGGUACGCGUGAAAUAAAUGGCAACUCUUUAUUAAGAUACUUUGACCCCAUAAUAAAGUGGCUGGAAGAGCAAAACGUGAAUGAGACCCUUGGAUGGGCUGAAUUCAACUGGGUUCCACCUAUCCCCGAGGGUUACCCUGAGGAUAUUCAUGCAGAAUUAAAAGCCUCGACUGUAUAGAAAGAACUGCAUGUUGGAGGCUGGGGCAUUCAGAAGGCAUCGCUGGAAACCAGACUGCUUCCAUUUUGGCUGCGGUGUUACAGUUGUCAUCUUCUGGUUUUAAUGCAUGAUUCUAAUAAAAGCAGUUCUAAAUUGUC
Long non-coding RNA from Girardinichthys multiradiatus, 821 nucleotides. RefSeq lists it as uncharacterized. The transcript has 3 exons. Lineage: Eukaryota; Metazoa; Chordata; Actinopteri; Cyprinodontiformes; Goodeidae. The record is from RefSeq and is a predicted model, not a curated record.